RNAcentral lists this ribosomal RNA (497 nucleotides) under uncultured bacterium. Its description in RNAcentral is "partial 16S ribosomal RNA". It matches the Rfam family "Bacterial small subunit ribosomal RNA", at positions 28 to 507 of the family's 1533-position model. The record is from RNAcentral.
GAUGAACGCUGGCGGCGUGCCUAAUACAUGCAAGUCGAGCGAACGGACGAGAAGCUUGCUUUUCUGAUGUUAGCGGCGGACGGGUGAGUAACACGUGGAUAACCUACCUAUAAGACUGGGAUAACUUCGGGAAACCGGAGCUAAUACCGGAUAAUAUUUUGAACCGCAUGGUUCAAAAGUGAAAGACGGUCUUGCUGUCACUUAUAGAUGGAUCCGCGCUGCAUUAGCUAGUUGGUAAGGUAACGGCUUACCAAGGCAACGAUGCAUAGCCGACCUGAGAGGGUGAUCGGCCACACUGGAACUGAGACACGGUCCAGACUCCUACGGGAGGCAGCAGUAGGGAAUCUUCCGCAAUGGGCGAAAGCCUGACGGAGCAACGCCGCGUGAGUGAUGAAGGUCUUCGGAUCGUAAAACUCUGUUAUUAGGGAAGAACAUAUGUGUAAGUAACUGUGCACAUCUUGACGGUACCUAAGCAGAAAGCCACGGUUAACUACGUG